Molecule: long non-coding RNA, 1113 nt
Organism: Nematostella vectensis (starlet sea anemone)
Lineage: Eukaryota; Metazoa; Cnidaria; Anthozoa; Actiniaria; Edwardsiidae
Exons: 4
Source: RefSeq, a predicted model, not a curated record
GUUUAAAGUAAAGUACGCCACAAUUUAUGAAGCAGAAGAAGCAGUUUGCAUUUCAUGUAAUACCUACCUUGGUUAUGAAGAGAGAGAUAAAGCACCUAUUCCAAGUGGAAUAUUGGGAAAAAAAACAUGCCAUCUUACACAAGAGCAAUUACUAGAGUUGGUGUCAGUCUCAGAUAGGCUAAAAAAAUAAAUGUCUACUUGCUUGACUGUGUUUUAAACCAGGAAAUCAAAGAUGUUGAUGAUAUUGUUCUGGAUCUCUUUAAACUUGCAAGUUUGAGCAGCCAGGAAAAUAUGGUAAAUACUGUCUAUCUGGAGCUGGCCAAGAGACAUGGUAUCAAGUUAAACCCAAAGGAUUUGGGAUCUGUCUGUAAAUGAGAAUCAUGGAGAAUCUGCAGAGUUUUGGCACACCCAAUCUUGUGUACAUGUGGUGUGAGUGCCUACAUGGCAAGGAUGUUCGCCUACAGCCAGACAGGAUGCCAUUUGGGCUGCUGCAAUACUGUAUUGAGUUCUUUAGUUGAACCUAUAUUGCUCAGAUAUCUGAACCACCAGAUUAUAGAUGUUGGCUAGAUACAAUGGAGGCUGAAUUUGGAGGAGGAAAGUUCUUGUGACUCUUCCAUGGGCCAAUGUGGAGUGGAUGUGGCAGACAAGAUAUUGGAAAUUCAAAGAAGGCCAAGCCAAAUAUUCCUUGCAGAAGCAUCCAGGCACAGCUUGCUAUUAUCACUAAAAGUGAAUUUUCUUCUGCACUGGAAAUACAGAUGAAAGCAAUAAAAAUGCUCAAACAAGCAAAUCCUGAGGGAAUGUUGACAAAGUGGAUGGGGAACUAAAGAAGUUGAGUUGUACUUCAACCGCAUAAAAAAAGCAUCACAAGCAAUUGGUAACCCACACAGGAAUAACACUGAACUGAAGGAUGCAAUGAGCAUCUCUGACAUCUUGCUGAAUCUUGUAUUGGUUAGAAUAAUAAAACAUGUUCUUGUAAAAUACACUGUUCUCGAAAUGUAUAGGAGGCAAUUCUGAAACAAUAUAAUGUAAAAAAAAGGUGAUGGGAUAAUGUUAAUGAUAUCUAUAUAUUCUUGUAACAACCAAUUAUUUAAAUAAAACAAGAAAUAGCCUGUU